GGAUAGGACUUCUUGUUUUACUUCCUAUCGACUUGCUUCUUGUAGACGCCUUAUAUACUGCAGGUGUAUGGCGGGUCUGUGCACGUGCCGGAUAUGCUUCCGCUGGUAUCCGGGCGUGACAUUAUCUGUACUAUGGAACACUUUAAUUUGACUAUCUAAUCUUUCAAAACUUUGAUUUUACUAUCUAAUUUUUCAAUUCAUUUGAUUUGAAUAAGUAAGUGGGAUUUUGACUUCAAAUUUUAAGCUAAUUAAAUUACAAAAAUUAUAUAAAAUAUACUAAUUGAAUCUGUAAAAAUAAACGACGCACUCAAAUUUGAAGGUAAAGUAUUAUUGAUUGACUCAAAUCAAACCAAUUGAAACAUAAGAUAGUAAAAUUAAAACUUUGAAAGGUUGGAUAGUUAAAUCAAAAUGGUCCAAAGUUCAAAUAGGUUUUGUAUGUUUUUAUCUUGUUUUU
Molecule: long non-coding RNA, 454 nt
Filed under: Ananas comosus (pineapple)
Lineage: Eukaryota; Viridiplantae; Streptophyta; Magnoliopsida; Poales; Bromeliaceae
Description: long non-coding RNA (ACOM_LNC007685)
Source: RNAcentral